RNAcentral lists this long non-coding RNA (608 nucleotides) under Setaria viridis. RNAcentral's name for it is "long non-coding RNA (SVIR_LNC003359)". Lineage: Eukaryota; Viridiplantae; Streptophyta; Magnoliopsida; Poales; Poaceae. The record is from RNAcentral.
CUCAGAUUCGCACCAAACAUAGCAUAUAACGUGGCUAGCUACCACUAUAAGAGAAACACCGGACAUAUUAAUAGAGCCGGCAUGAAUAAGUCAUCCAUGUCGUAUGGUAAACGAGCCGGCACGAGAAAUGAAUUAUCUGCGGUGGCUCUCAAUAGAGCCAUCAUGGAUGCCCUCUAGGAUUAUCCAUGUCGGCUCUCAACAAUACCCAUCAUGGAUAUCCUCAGAGUUAUCUGUGCCAACUCUCGGACUUAAAAACUUGCAACUUUAGCAUACAAACUCAGAUGGAGACAAAAUUUGUAGGUUUUGACUAGAUCUACAACUUUAUUGUUGAAUUUUUUUGAUUUUAAGUUGUUUAGAUACUCAAUAUAAUUUUAACUCGUAUUUCCACCCUAGUAAUUUGAAUUUCCGAUUGUGUUCAGAAAUUUGUAACUUUUGCAUAUUGAUUUGGAUGAAGAUAAACUUUCUACAACAAUCAUAGAUUUCUACCAGAUCUAUAACUUUGUAGUUGAAACCUUUUUAAUUUGAAGCCAUUUAGAUGCCCAAACAAUGUAUAUUCAGCUUGUGUUUCCACCCUUGUAAUUUGGAUUUCAGAUUAUAUUCGAAAUUCG